Molecule: unclassified non-coding RNA, 323 nt
Filed under: uncultured Clavaria
Lineage: Eukaryota; Fungi; Basidiomycota; Agaricomycetes; Agaricales; Clavariaceae
Description: sequence contains ITS2
Rfam family: 5.8S ribosomal RNA (bases 1-52)
Source: RNAcentral
AACGCACAUUGCACCCUCUGGUAUUCCGGAGGGUAUGCCUGUUUGAGUGUCAUUAAUCUCUCAACACAGACAGGUUUUGUUACCUGUUCUGUUGUUUGGAUUUUGAAGGCUUUGCUGGCAGUCUGACUGUCAGCUCCUUUUAAAUGCAUUAGCAGAAAUCAUGCAGAACUGGCCUCAGUUUGAUAAAGAUUUAUCUAUGUUGCUGUCGCCAGGAUAAUGCUAGUAUUUUUCAGCUUCUAAUAGUCCUUUCAGGACUGUCUCACUUGAGGCAUACAAACUUGACACUUGACCUCAAAUCAGGUAGGACUACCCGCUGAACUUAA